This 207-nucleotide ribosomal RNA is filed under the name uncultured bacterium. Its description in RNAcentral is "partial 16S ribosomal RNA". It matches the Rfam family "Bacterial small subunit ribosomal RNA", at positions 568 to 774 of the family's 1533-position model. The record is from RNAcentral.
CGCGUAGGCGGGCCUUCAAGUCGGAUGUGAAAACCCCGGGCUUAACUCGGGGCCUGCAUUCGAAACUGAAGGUCUUGAGUACAGGAGAGGAAAGUGGAAUUCCAGGUGUAGCGGUGAAAUGCGUAGAUAUCUGGAAGAACACCAGUAGCGAAGGCGGCUUUCUGGACUGAUACUGACGCUAAAGCGCGAAGGCUUGGGGAGCAAACA